CGGGUCCCAGCGCCUGGUCCGCGGGAGGGCCCGCCCGCCCCCUGCCACCCGGCCCCCGGCCCCUCCGCGCACCCCUGUCCCGGGGACGGCCAGGCACACAGCCCUCCACCUCAGGUCCCCGGCCUCCGCACAAUUCAGAAGCCACCUCUGCGGAGGGGAGGGCCGUGCGAGGCCGUGCGCCCCCGCGGGCACCUGGGGGGAACGGCAGAAGACCAGCAAAUUCUUUUUUAACCUCUCAAGAUCCUUUCCACGAGUCCCCAGCCUGUCCCUGCUCUCCUCAUCUGCGGCUCUGGAAGCCCAGUGGAGGCCCAUGGAACCAAUGGGCACUCACGGGUGCCUGGGCGCAUGCCUCCCGGAUUCGAGGCUGGAGCUGCUUUCUCCCCGACCGGGUUUGAGAGCCUGUGUUCAUUUCACACUCCAGGGAGCAAGGAAAAGUACUCUGCCUGAAGGCCUGGCUUCCCGGGAGUUUCCAGAAACUGAUUUUCUAGAAAUUGCCCAAUGCCGCUAGAAUCUAUGCCAUUGUUUAAAACUGACUUCUGCCAAGGGAAAGGACGUGGAGUCAGAGAAUCGCAAAGAAUCCCUGGAUAGGACCUCAGAGAUCAAGUCCAACCUCCCUCCCUCUGAAUCCCGUAGGACAUGAUGCAAAGGCUGGUGGCAGAGGGAGAUGCUGAGAAGCAGAAGGAAUCAGGCUCGAGCAAAAAGGAGGGAAGAUAUGUGGUGUGGUGGACAGUGGGCAGAUGGUAAUGGCCUGAGCUGUGUGACCUCAGGCACGUUCUUAACCUCUCUGGGCCUCUGUGCUUUUAUCUGUAAGAUAAAAGAGUUCCUGCCUAGCAGGGUGGCUGUGAGAUCAAAGACACAUAUAUAGAGAAGAGAUGCUCCGGUAAGACUUCAGUAAGAUUCAGAUCAUUUCUAUGGCAUAAAAUGAACCACACUCAGAAGAAAAAUUGUCCCUCAACUUGGAAGAUUACCUAUAAUGUAAAAUAUUAAUGUGUUCUCUGGGA
Panthera uncia (snow leopard) is the source of this 1001-nucleotide long non-coding RNA. RefSeq lists it as uncharacterized. Lineage: Eukaryota; Metazoa; Chordata; Mammalia; Carnivora; Felidae. The record is from RefSeq and is a predicted model, not a curated record. The transcript is spliced from 4 exons.